This 646-nucleotide ribosomal RNA is filed under the name uncultured Acidobacteriota bacterium. RNAcentral describes it as "bacterial SSU rRNA". It matches the Rfam family "Bacterial small subunit ribosomal RNA", at positions 8 to 651 of the family's 1533-position model. The record is from RNAcentral. Lineage: Bacteria; Pseudomonadati; Acidobacteriota.
AGAGUUUGAUCCUGGCUCAGAACGAACGCUGGCGGCGUGCUUAACACAUGCAAGUCGAGUGCGCGUUCCGGUAGCAAUAUCGGAAUGGCGCACGGCGCACGGGUGCGUAACACGUGGGCAAUCUGCCCUUCGAUGGGGAAUAACUCCGGGAAACCGAAGCUAAUUCCGCAUAACAUUCCCUGGACUCCGGUUCGGGGAUUCAAAGCCGUAAGGCGUCGAAGGAGGAGCCCGCGCCCGAUUAGCUAGUUGGUAGGGUAACGGCCUACCAAGGCUAUGAUCGGUAGCUGGUCUGAGAGGAUGGCCAGCCACACUGGAACUGAGACACGGUCCAGACUCCUACGGGAGGCAGCAGUGGGGAAUCUUGCGCAAUGGGCGAAAGCCUGACGCAGCGACGCCGCGUGGGGGAUGAAGCAUUUCGGUGUGUAAACCCCUUUCGACUGGGACGAAUGCCUCGCAAGAGGAGUGACGGUACCAGUAGAAGAAGCCCCGGCUAACUACGUGCCAGCAGCCGCGGUAAGACGUAGGGGGCCAGCGUUGUUCGGAAUUACUGGGUGUNAAAGGGUUCGUAGGCGGUGCGGCAAGUCGGGAGUGAAAUCUAUGGGCUUAACCCAUANGCUGCUUCCGAAACUGCUGUGCUCNANUGUGG